ACUGACACGCAGUAGUUGGGCUGAAUACUUUGCAUCUUACUUGGCCCGAUUAUGGUUUGAUGGGCUACUGCCGGAGUUCGGCAGACGGAUCUCAUACAGCGUGUGGGCCGAUACUUACAGAACGGACACUGAUCAGUAGCAUUGAUGUUGGCGGCAAAAUUGAAAUAGUAAACGGCAGACGGAAACUAAACGUACAUGGCCCGAUUCUGUAAAGUGACUGUCGGCCCAUUACAUGUGGAAGAGCGGUGGAACAAAUAUUAACUGAAGAUUGAAACCAGAACGGCGCGAAACUGUCUCGUUUUGGACACUGUCUGUGGCAGCACGGACCAGAGACCUGCUUCUUUGGAUGAAGCUUAGUGGUGGCGUUGGAAGACAGGAGAUAUAUGCUUUGGGUUUGCGUCAUCCACUACGUCAGCAAAGAACAGGAUCGGGGAAUGACUACAUGGCCAACUGCAUCUCGUGGAAGUUGUUCUGAAGAUGCGAUGCGUGAAGGAAGGAAGUCCACAAGCAUGUGUGCUUCAGGUGUGUAAAUGUGUUGACAUACCUUGUGUGUUAUAUAAUGUGUUCAGUCAUCAUCAUAACUGUAUAAGGAUGUGUCAGACAAUAAAUUAAUUUUGUUUUCUUUUGAAAUUUCAUGCAUUUCGGCUGGCUGAAUGGGAAGAACUCUUUGACCAACCCCCAACUGAGAGAGCUGAGCGAAGUGGCUAUCAGUAAGUCUAUUUGUGGGGACAGACUUACUCUGACAGAUGACAUCUUACAAACUAUGCUGUAGAUCUCAUAAUGAUCUUGCAAUAUGUAUUCUUUUAUAACUAAAUGCAGUUUGGAGAUAUUCCCCAGCUGCUAGUGAUGAUGCAACAUGUGUAGGCAAUAACUAAGCAGCAACAGAAAGAUAAGGCACUUUGUGUGUGUGUGUGUGUGUGUGUGUGUGUGUGUGUGUGUGUGUGUGUGUGUGUGUGUGUGUGUGUGUGUGUGUGUGUGUGUGUGUGUGUGUGUGUGGUAGCUGGCUAGGUUAUGGUACAUGGUAACCCACAGCCCACCCCGCUGACAUUGAAAUUACUCUUUUAGAGAGAGAGAG
Molecule: long non-coding RNA, 1075 nt
Organism: Sardina pilchardus (European sardine)
Lineage: Eukaryota; Metazoa; Chordata; Actinopteri; Clupeiformes; Clupeidae
Exons: 3
Source: RefSeq, a predicted model, not a curated record